RNAcentral lists this ribosomal RNA (492 nucleotides) under uncultured Glomus. Its description in RNAcentral is "SSU rRNA". It matches the Rfam family "Eukaryotic small subunit ribosomal RNA", at positions 588 to 1081 of the family's 1831-position model. The record is from RNAcentral. Lineage: Eukaryota; Fungi; Glomeromycota; Glomeromycetes; Glomerales; Glomeraceae.
GCUCCAAUAGCGUAUAUUAAAGUUGUUGCAGUUAAAAAGCUCGUAGUUGAAUUUCGGGGUUAGUAGGUUGGUCAUGCCUCUGGUAUGUACUGGUCUCACUGAUUCCUCCUUCCUGAUGAACUUUAAUGCCAUUAAUUUGGUGUUUUGGGGAAUUUGGACUGUUACUUUGAAAAAAUUAGAGUGUUUAAAGCAAGCUAACGCUUGAAUACAUUAGCAUGGAAUAAUGAAAUAGGACGUUCGAUCCUAUUUUGUUGGUUUCUAGGAUUGACGUAAUGAUUAAUAGGGAUAGUUGGGGGCAUUAGUAUUCAAUUGUCAGAGGUGAAAUUCUUGGAUUUAUUGAAGACUAACUACUGCGAAAGCAUUUGCCAAGGAUGUUUUCAUUAAUCAAGAACGAAAGUUAGGGGAUCGAAGACGAUCAGAUACCGUCGUAGUCUUAACCAUAAACUAUGCCGACUAGGGAUCGGAUGAUGUUAAGUUUUUAAUGACUCAUUC